Molecule: ribosomal RNA, 488 nt
Filed under: Neoneuromus latratus
Lineage: Eukaryota; Metazoa; Arthropoda; Insecta; Megaloptera; Corydalidae
Description: partial 16S ribosomal RNA
Rfam family: Bacterial large subunit ribosomal RNA
Source: RNAcentral
CAUGUCUUUUAGAAAAUAAUUUAAAGUCUAACCUGCCCACUAAGGGCCGCAGUAUUUUGACUGUGCAAAGGUAGCAUAAUCAUUAGUCUUUUAAUUGAAGGCUUGUAUGAAUGGUUGGAUGAAAUAUUAACUGUCUCAAAUUAAUAAUAGAAUUUAAUUUUUAAGUUAAAAAGCUUAAAUAGAAUUAGAGGACGAGAAGACCCUAUAGAUCUUUAUAUUUUUAUUUUUAAUUUUUAUUUAGGAAAAAAAUAUUUUUAAAUAUUUUAUUGGGGUGAUAAUUAAAUUUAGUUAACUUUAUUUAAUAAAAACAUUAAUUUAUGAAUAAUUGAUCCAUUAUUAGUGAUUAGAAGAUUAAGUUACCUUAGGGAUAACAGCGUAAUUUUUUUAGAGAGUUCUUAUCGAUAAAAAAGUUUGCGACCUCGAUGUUGAAUUUUUAGGUGCAGUAGUUUAAAUGUUUGGUCUGUUCGACCAUUAAAUCUUUACAUGAU